RNAcentral lists this ribosomal RNA (800 nucleotides) under Nocardiopsis sp. JSM 073081. RNAcentral's name for it is "bacterial SSU rRNA". It matches the Rfam family "Bacterial small subunit ribosomal RNA", at positions 45 to 848 of the family's 1533-position model. The record is from RNAcentral. Lineage: Bacteria; Bacillati; Actinomycetota; Actinomycetes; Streptosporangiales; Nocardiopsidaceae.
UGCUUACACAUGCAAGUCGAGCGGUAAGGCCCUUCGGGGUACACGAGCGGCGAACGGGUGAGUAACACGUGAGCAACCUGCCCCUGACUCCGGGAUAAGCGGUGGAAACGCCGUCUAAUACCGGAUACGACUCUCCGGCUCAUGCUGGAGGGUGGAAAGUUUUUUCGGUCGGGGAUGGGCUCGCGGCCUAUCAGCUUGUUGGUGGGGUAAUGGCCCACCAAGGCGAUUACGGGUAGCCGGCCUGAGAGGGUGACCGGCCACACUGGGACUGAGACACGGCCCAGACUCCUGCGGGAGGCAGCAGUGGGGAAUCUUGCGCAAUGGGCGAAAGCCUGACGCAGCGACGCCGCGUGGGGGAUGACGGCCUUCGGGUUGUAAACUCCUUUUACCACUCACGCAGGCUCCCAGUUCUCUGGGGGUUGACGGUAAGUGGGGAAUAAGGACCGGCUAACUACGUGCCAGCAGCCGCGGUAAUACGUAGGGUCCGAGCGUUGUCCGGAAUUAUUGGGCGUAAAGAGCUCGUAGGCGGCAUGUCACGUCUGCUGUGAAAGACCGGGGCUUAACUUCGGUUUUGCAGUGGAUACGGGCAUGCUAGAGGUAGGUAGGGGAGACUGGAAUUCCUGGUGUAGCGGUGGAAUGCGCAGAUAUCAGGAGGAACACCGGUGGCGAAGGCGGGUCUCUGGGCCUUACCUGACGCUGAGGAGCGAAAGCAUGGGUAGCGAACAGGAUUAGAUACCCUGGUAGUCCAUGCCGUAAACGAUGGGCGCUAGGUGUGGGGACUUUCCACGGUUUCCGCGCCG